GACGAACGCUGGCGGCGUGCUUGACACAUGCAAGUCGAACGGAAAGGCCUGCUUUCCCUUGUGGAUUGCGGGUACUCGAGUGGCGAACGGGUGAGUAACACGUGAGUGAUCUGCCCCCAACUUGGGUAUAAGCCUGGGAAACUGGGUCUAAUUCCCGAUAGGACUGCAGGGUGGUGCCUGUGGUGGAAAACGAUUUUCUAGUGGUUGGGGAUGAGCUCGCGGCCUAUCAGCUUGUUGGUGGGGUAAUGGCCUACCAAGGCGGCGACGGGUAGCCGGCCUGAGAGGGUGGACGGCCACAUUGGGACUGAGAUACGGCCCAGACUCCUACGGGAGGCAGCAGUGGGGAAUAUUGCACAACGGGCGGAAGCCUGAUGCAGCGACGCCGCGUGGGGGAUGACGGCCUUCGGGUUGUAAACUCCUUUCGACCGCGAGGAAGCCACCUGGUUGGAAGGGUGGUGACGGUAGUGGUAGAAGAAGCACCGGCUAACUACGUG
Molecule: ribosomal RNA, 494 nt
Filed under: uncultured bacterium
Lineage: Bacteria
Description: partial 16S ribosomal RNA
Rfam family: Bacterial small subunit ribosomal RNA
Source: RNAcentral